AAAGCCCGCAAGGGUAAGUAGAGUGGCGCACGGGUGAGUAACACGUGGACAACCUGCCUUCGAGUGGGGAAUAACCUUCCGAAAGGAGGGCUAAUACCGCAUAACACCUCGGGACACAAGUUCUGGGGUUGAAAAGAGCAAUUUGCUCGAAGAGGGGUCCGCGCCUGAUUAGCUAGUUGGUGAGGUAACGGCUCACCAAGGCUUCGAUCAGUAGCCGUCCUGAGAGGGAGCACGGCCACACUGGAACUGAGACACGGUCCAGACUCCUACGGGAGGCAGCAGUGGGGAAUUUUUGGCAAUGGGCGAAAGCCUGACCAAGCAACGCCGCGUGGGUGAUGAAGUAUCUUGGUACGUAAAACCCUUUCGGCAGGGACGAAAAAAAUGACGGUACCUGCGGAAGAAGCCCCGGCUAACUCCGUGCCAGCAGCCGCGGUAAUACGGGGGGGGCAAGCGUUGUUCGGAAUUACUGGGCGUAAAGGGCGCGUAGGCGGUUGGAUAAGUCAGCUGUGAAAACCACGAGCUUAACUCGUGGCCUGCAGUUGAGACUGUCUGGCUUGAGUGUGGGAGAGGAGAGUGGAAUUCCUGGUGUAGCGGUGAAAUGCGUAGAUAUCAGGAGGAACACCGGUGGCGAAGGCGGCUCUCUGGACCACAACUGACGCUGAGGCGCGAAAGCUAGGGGAGCAAACAGGAUUAGAUACCCUGGUAGUCCUAGCUGUAAACGAUGGAUACUUGCUGUGGGGGGGUGUUAAAUCCCCCUGUGGCGGAGCUAACGCAUUAAGUAUCCCGCCUGGGGAGUACGGUCGCAAGGCUG
This 811-nucleotide ribosomal RNA is filed under the name uncultured Bacillota bacterium. RNAcentral's name for it is "bacterial SSU rRNA". It matches the Rfam family "Bacterial small subunit ribosomal RNA", at positions 72 to 896 of the family's 1533-position model. Lineage: Bacteria; Bacillati; Bacillota. The record is from RNAcentral.